GACGAACGCUGGCGGCGUGCUUAACACAUGCAAGUCGUACGGUAAGGCCCUUUCGGGGGUACACGAGUGGCGAACGGGUGAGUAACACGUGAGUAACCUUCCCACAACUUUGGGAUAACGCUAGGAAACUGGUGCUAAUACUGGAUAUGUGCUCCUGCUGCAUGGUGGGGGUUGGAAAGCUCCGGGGGUUGUGGAUGGACUCGCGGCCUAUCAGCUUGUUGGUGGGGUAGUGGCCUACCAAGGCGGCGACGGGUAGCCGCCCUGAGAGGGUGACCGGCCACAUUGGGACUGAGAUACGGCACAGACUCCUACGGGAGGAAGCAGUGGGGAAUAUUGCACAAUGGGCGCAAGCCUGAUGAAGCAACGCCGCGUGCGGGAUGACGGCCUUCGGGUUGUAAAACGCUUUCAGCAGGGACGAAGCUUUUUGUGACGGUACCUGCAGAAGAAGCACCGGCUAACUACGUG
This 465-nucleotide ribosomal RNA is filed under the name uncultured bacterium. Its description in RNAcentral is "partial 16S ribosomal RNA". It matches the Rfam family "Bacterial small subunit ribosomal RNA", at positions 28 to 507 of the family's 1533-position model. The record is from RNAcentral.